RNAcentral lists this non-coding RNA (79 nucleotides) under Clostridium saccharoperbutylacetonicum. RNAcentral's name for it is "ZTP sequence". It matches the Rfam family "ZMP/ZTP riboswitch aptamer (pfl RNA motif)". Rfam says of the family: Previously known as pfl RNA. ZMP is also known as AICAR. Lineage: Bacteria; Bacillati; Bacillota; Clostridia; Eubacteriales; Clostridiaceae. The record is from RNAcentral. RNAcentral also lists the same sequence under 1 other name.
AUUUAGUCAUAUGACUGACGGAAGUGGGUUUACCACAUGAAGUAUGACUAUUAAUAAGCCGACCGUCUGGGCAAAAAAG